Molecule: ribosomal RNA, 439 nt
Filed under: uncultured bacterium
Lineage: Bacteria
Description: bacterial SSU rRNA
Rfam family: Bacterial small subunit ribosomal RNA
Source: RNAcentral
AACGCGAAGAACCUUACCAAGGCUUGACAUGCAGGGAAAAGCCGUAGAGACACGGUGUCCGUAAGGGUCCUGCACAGGUGGUGCAUGGCUGUCGUCAGCUCGUGUCGUGAGAUGUUGGGUUAAGUCCCGCAACGAGCGCAACCCUUAUCCUAUGUUGCCAGCGGAUUAUGCCGGGGACUCAUGGGAGACUGCCGGGGUCAACUCGGAGGAAGGUGGGGAUGACGUCAAGUCAUCAUGCCCCUUAUGUCUUGGGCUGCAAACAUGCUACAAUGGCCGGUACAGAGGGCUGCGAACUCGCGAGAGUAAGCGAAUCCCGGAAAGCCGGUCUCAGUUCGGAUCGGGGUCUGCAACUCGGCCCCGUGAAGCUGGAGUCGCUAGUAAUCGCGGAUCAGCAACGCCGCGGUGAAUACGUUCCCGGGCCUUGUACACACCGCUAGUC